RNAcentral lists this ribosomal RNA (363 nucleotides) under Pithauria murdava. RNAcentral's name for it is "SSU rRNA". It matches the Rfam family "Eukaryotic small subunit ribosomal RNA", at positions 1162 to 1514 of the family's 1831-position model. The record is from RNAcentral. Lineage: Eukaryota; Metazoa; Arthropoda; Insecta; Lepidoptera; Hesperiidae.
GGGCACCACCAGGGGGUGCAGCUGCGGCUUAUUUGACUCAACACGGCAAAUCUCACCAGGCCCGGACACCGAAAGGAUUGACAGAUUAACAGCUCUUUCUUGAUUCGGUGGGUGGUGGUGCAUGGCCGUUCUUAGUUGGUGGAGCGAUUUGUCUGGUUAAUUCCGGUAACGAACGAGACUCUAGCCUGCUAAAUAGGCGUCGCCAUUUAGGUGUGCUCGACUUCGGUCGUGCAACUCACUGGCGACGUAUUAAAAUUCUUCUUAGAGGGACCGGCGGCUUCGAGCCGCACGAGAUUGAGCAAUAACAGGUCUGUGAUGCCCUUAGAUGUCCUGGGCCGCACGCGCGCUACACUGAAGGAAUAA